GUAAUGGUGUCUUUAGACACCACCCUCUUUUUGAAAUUCUUUAUUU
This is a non-coding RNA of Picea glauca (white spruce), 46 nucleotides long. The record is from Rfam. Lineage: Eukaryota; Viridiplantae; Streptophyta; Pinopsida; Pinales; Pinaceae.